CCGAGUGCGGGCCCUCUGGGUCCACCCUCCCACCCGUGUCUACCGUCCCUUGUUGCUUCGGCGGGCCUGCCCCCCUCCCGGGGGGGCGGCCGGGGGGCCCUCGCGCCCCCGGGCUCCGUGCCCGCCGGAGACCCCCUCCACGAACCCUGUGUGAAGGUUGCCGUCUGAGUGGAUUUAUCCAAAUCGUCA
Molecule: unclassified non-coding RNA, 189 nt
Filed under: uncultured Trichocomaceae
Lineage: Eukaryota; Fungi; Ascomycota; Eurotiomycetes; Eurotiales; Trichocomaceae
Description: sequence contains ITS1
Source: RNAcentral